This 569-nucleotide ribosomal RNA is filed under the name Boana crepitans (emerald-eyed treefrog). RNAcentral's name for it is "partial 16S ribosomal RNA". It matches the Rfam family "Bacterial large subunit ribosomal RNA", at positions 1819 to 2598 of the family's 2925-position model. Lineage: Eukaryota; Metazoa; Chordata; Amphibia; Anura; Hylidae. The record is from RNAcentral.
CGCCUCUUGAAAAAUAUAAGAGGUCCAGCCUGCCCAGUGACCUAGUUCAACGGCCGCGGUAUCCUAACCGUGCGAAGGUAGCGUAAUCACUUGUUCUUUAAAUAAGGACUAGUAUGAAUGGCACCACGAGGGUUUAACUGUCUCCUUUUUCUAAUCAGUGAAACUAAUCUCCCCGUGAAGAAGCUGGGAUUUUUUUAUAAGACGAGAAGACCCUAUGGAGCUUUAAACUAUUUUACACCUGCUGCCCACAAACCAACUUCCAGAAAUUAACCCUAAAGCAUAGCACUUUGAUUAAUAGUUUUUGAUUGGGGUGAUCGCGGAGUAAAAAAUAACCUCCACGACGAUAAGGAUUCUUCCUGAGCCAUAAGCCACAACUUUAAGCACUAAUAUAAUUAACGGCUAUUGACCCAAUAAUUUUGAUCAACGAACCAAGUUACCCUAGGGAUAACAGCGCAAUCCACUUCAAGAGCUCCUAUCGACAAGUGGGUUUACGACCUCGAUGUUGGAUCAGGGUAUCCUAGUGGUGCAGCCGCUACUAACGGUUCGUUUGUUCAACGAUUAAAACCCUA